UAUUGGCAUGGACUACAAAACUUCGGGCACAG
RNAcentral lists this non-coding RNA (32 nucleotides) under Rattus norvegicus (Norway rat). The record is from RNAcentral. Lineage: Eukaryota; Metazoa; Chordata; Mammalia; Rodentia; Muridae.